GACGAACGCUGGCGGCGUGCUUAACACAUGCAAGUCGAACGGUGAUGCUCCAGCUUGCUGGAGUGGAUCAGUGGCGAACGGGUGAGUAACACGUGAGCAACCUGCCCCAGACUCUGGAAUAAGCGCUGGAAACGGCGUCUAAUACUGGAUACGAAACUGGCCCGCAUGGGCAUGGUUUGGAAAGUUUUUCGGUUUGGGAUGGGCUCGCGGCCUAUCAGCUUGUUGGUGAGGUAAUGGCUCACCAAGGCGACGACGGGUAGCCGGCCUGAGAGGGCGACCGGCCACACUGGGACUGAGACACGGCCCAGACUCCUACGGGUGGCAGCAGUGGGGAAUAUUGCACAAUGGGCGAAAGCCUGAUGCAGCGACGCCGCGUGAGGGAUGACGGCCUUCGGGUUGUAAACCUCUUUCAGCAGGGAAGAAGCGAAAGUGACGGUACCUGCAGAAGAAGCACCGGCUAACUACGUG
RNAcentral lists this ribosomal RNA (468 nucleotides) under uncultured bacterium. Its description in RNAcentral is "partial 16S ribosomal RNA". It matches the Rfam family "Bacterial small subunit ribosomal RNA", at positions 28 to 507 of the family's 1533-position model. The record is from RNAcentral.